Molecule: long non-coding RNA, 3052 nt
Organism: Schistocerca serialis cubense
Lineage: Eukaryota; Metazoa; Arthropoda; Insecta; Orthoptera; Acrididae
Exons: 3
Source: RefSeq, a predicted model, not a curated record
UAUUCGAACGGUGACGGGAAUUGGGGCAGCGGUAUUAAAUUACGUCGUAUCUUACUGGCUACACCAGGUUGGGUUUAGUUAAGCAGAGCGGUUAUUGAACUUAAUAGCAAAUCACGGUGAACUGACGCUGGUAACCAGCUUUUUGGUAAACAGUACUAACGUUAGAGAUACUAGUGCUACGUAAUUUUUAUCGGCGAAGGAACAACGUUCCAGGUCAUGUUGCACCUUUAAGUCGACGAAACAGUGCGUAGCAAGUGAUUCACAAGAACUUCUCAUAGGUGUAAUCAGUAACAUUGUUGAAUCAUCAUCAGUAGUGAAUUCUACUUAUUUGGCUUCUAGACGGAGCAUUUUAACUAUUUUCCCGCUUUUAGAGGAUUUCUCCGAACAUCUCAGUGAAGCAGAGGAGAACGGCAAGAUGGCUGACAGUAUACACAGCGAACACACAGAGGACAGGGAUGCCACCUCCGCAGCUGUUGUGAACGUCGAGGUUGGGGCGAAGACACGGGCGCUGCCUCGCUACCUGCUGCUAAUCCGCUGCCCGGAGCAAACGCAUGCUAUUGUGGCUCCAUUAGCCUCCACAGUAGAACCGACGCGUCUGGUCAGCCGACAGGGCAAGCCUGUGUGAUGAAUGGGGUCACCACGCGGCAGUGGUCAUCGACCCUGAGCCAACUGACAUGAAAUGUUUGUUGAAUACACGUGAAAGACACUGGAAUUUACAUAAAUUUAGACAUGAUAUCAGUCGUGUAAGGGAGAGAGUUAACAACAACUAGCUACAGAGAUGAGGGCCGCCGAUUAGACGAUGGCUACCCGGGCUUCUGGUCAGACCUGUCCUGUUCUGCUGCUCUGUGGUACCGCAGGGCUACCUCUGAUGUUACUUGUUUGGUAGUAACCCCACGUCUGCCCUAUGCUUCUAGCUCGUCUUGCACGCCUACUCAGCCUAGUGCUCUCGCUAACAACCACCGUAUGGAGUCAUGCUGCCACAGCCGCAAUUCUAUUCACACAGGUUUUCAAACUAUCGUGUCUCAGUGAUUUCUUAAGACGGCACAUAUAUUACAGUCUUUAUCAUUGUUGUGAUGGUAUUUGUACAGAAACGAAGGUAAUAGGGUAACAGACUGAAUAAAUCAUAAUUAUACUAUUACUUUGUAUAGAGCCGCCAGAGACCGUGGGUUCCUUGUACCAAAAUACCUAAAAGGUAUACCUGAACAACCUUUGAAAAUUUGUUGCUUGAGUUCUAGUUCGAGUUGGAACUUAAAUAGUGGAAACUAUUUAUUCACAGCCGAUACAAAGGAGUUACAUGUUUGCACCUGUUACUGUCCAAAAUAGUCACCAGCGUUGUGUAGAACCCAUUGCCAGCGAUGUGGAAGGCAUAGUAUACCGUUAGCAGAGCCUGUUCUGUUAAUGGUGCAAAUGGAGCGGUGUACUGCCUGUCAAAUCUUUGUAACAGUUCUGAAGCGAAUGCGGCGAAGUGGUUCCUUCAUCUUCAGAAUCAAAUCGAAGUCACAAGAACUCAAGUCUUGGGAGUAUAGUGGAUGGUACAUUACUUCCCAGUCCCAUCGACCCAACAGAGCAGCCACAGCUUGCGCUGUAUGCGCCCGCGCAUUGUUGUGCAAAAUGAUGGGUGGGUUGUGCAGAAAGUGUCGCCGCUUCUUUCGCAAAUCUGGUCGCAGGUGAUGCUCCAAAAACGAACAGUAGUGUUGCGCAUUGACAGUCUGCUGUGGAGGAACUUAAUGCGUUAGGAUAACACCAUCACAGUUGUACACGAGAAUCACCAUAACUUUCACCAUACUGGGGCUCUGACGCACUUUCAACUUUCACGGCGACCCAUGAUGACGCCAUUCGUUGGAUUGGAGUUUCAGUUUUGGCUCUUACGAUGUGGCCCAUGUCUCAUCCAGUAUUACGAUAAGGCGUAAGAAAGCCCCUCCUUCGCGCUCAUAGUGCUCCAAGUGCGUCUGAGCAGCGUCGUAAUGCAUCCAUUUCUGUAUUUCCGUCAAGUCAUGUGGAAGUCAUCGUGAUGCAAUUUUUCGCAUGCCCAGGCAUUCCUUCAGGAUGCGAAGCACAGUUGUAUGCGCUAAUCCGGUUUUGUGGGCAAUCUCACGAAUCUUAUGGCGUCGACCAAUGUCCAUUAACACGGCAACAGCGUGCACUUCUUCUUCAGAGACGCUAGGACGACCUGCCCCAUGCAUGUCUGCCACAGUCUGCCGACCUUCGUUGAAGGCUUUUACCCAACGUGCCACUGUUCUGUACGGCAAUGCCGAUUCCCCGUACACCUCUUGAAGACCUUGAUGAGACUGUCCUGCUUUACGACAUCUGGCACAUUCAAUCUUGAUCCAACUCCGUUGUUCCUGUUUCGAAAAUAUAGUGACACCAUUACGUUAGACUGCUCACUCACAAGUGACUGUGUUUCCCUCGAUUGUACACACGGGACGGGCGAGUCUAUUUGCUCGGAGGGUAAGGUAGGUAUGUCAACAGUGUGUGCUAUCAGCGACAAUAGUAGAUUCCAUUGCAUAGUGUCUCCACAGCAGUGUUGCCACUACUUAAGUUCCAACCUAUGUAUAUAGAAUGUGUGAAUGCGUGUGCAUGUAUGCAUGUAUGUAUGAGAGAGAGAGAGAGAGUGAGAAAGUCAGAGAGAAUGAGAGAGUGCAUGCUCUGCCCACUAUGUGUAUGUGAGGUUUCCUACCAUGUAAACACAUUAGGUUGUUUAUAUUUUUUGCACACUAUGUGUAUAAGCUACUGUAAUUACUUACCUGCUGCUGGCAUUAUAAAAUCUAGGUCAUAUUUAGUCUAUCGAUGUUAUGUUUCAUAAGCAGACUGUAAAUAUUCCAUCUGAUAUGUUACAAUGUGCUUGACACUGUGAAAAACUGUGUCAUAUGACUAUUCCAAGUGAUAAAAAUUGUUGAAAACAUGUUAGUGCAUCAAUGCCAACUAUUUUAAACUGUGAAAAAACAUGCCACAACGUUGCAAGCUGUGCUAUGACUAUUCUAAUCUGUUGAAAACCAUAUGAUUGUGUCAAUAUCUAAAAACAUAUUAACCUGUGAGAUUUAUUAUGUAUAUC